GCAGUGGUGGUUCAGUGGUAGAAAGAAUUCUUGCCUUCCAUGCAGAAGACCAAGGUUCGACUCUUGGCCACUACA
Molecule: transfer RNA, 75 nt
Filed under: Loxodonta africana (African savanna elephant)
Lineage: Eukaryota; Metazoa; Chordata; Mammalia; Proboscidea; Elephantidae
Rfam family: tRNA
About the family: Transfer RNA (tRNA) molecules are approximately 80 nucleotides in length. Their secondary structure includes four short double-helical elements and three loops (D, anti-codon, and T loops).
Source: Rfam by way of RNAcentral